RNAcentral lists this ribosomal RNA (1438 nucleotides) under endophytic bacterium CTC9. RNAcentral's name for it is "bacterial SSU rRNA". It matches the Rfam family "Bacterial small subunit ribosomal RNA". The record is from RNAcentral.
CAUGCAAGUCGAACGGUGAAGCCAAGCUUGCUUGGUGGAUCAGUGGCGAACGGGUGAGUAACACGUGAGCAACCUGCCCUGGACUCUGGGAUAAGCGCUGGAAACGGCGUCUAAUACUGGAUAUGAGCCNCUAUCGCAUGGUGGGGGUUGGAAAGAUUUUUUGGUCUGGGAUGGGCUCGCGGCCUAUCAGCUUGUUGGUGAGGUAAUGGCUCACCAAGGCGUCGACGGGUAGCCGGCCUGAGAGGGUGACCGGCCACACUGGGACUGAGACACGGCCCAGACUCCUACGGGAGGCAGCAGUGGGGAAUAUUGCACAAUGGGCGAAAGCCUGAUGCAGCAACGCCGCGUGAGGGAUGACGGCCUUCGGGUUGUAAACCUCUUUUAGCAGGGAAGAAGCGAAAGUGACGGUACCUGCAGAAAAAGCGCCGGCUAACUACGUGCCAGCAGCCGCGGUAAUACGUAGGGCGCAAGCGUUAUCCGGAAUUAUUGGGCNGUAAAAGAAGGCUUCGUAGGUCGGUUUGUCGCGUCUGCUGUGAAAUCCCGAGGCUCAACCCUCGGGCCUGCAGUGGGUACGGGCAGACUAGAGUGCGGUAGGGGAGAUUGGAAUUCCUGGUGUAGCGGUGGAAUGCGCAGAUAUCAGGAGGAACACCGAUGGCGAAGGCAGAUCUCUGGGCCGUAACUGACGCUGAGGAGCGAAAGGGUGGGGAGCAAACAGGCUUAGAUACCCUGGUAGUCCACCCCGUAAACGUUGGGAACUAGUUGUGGGGACCAUUCCACGGUUUCCGUGACGCAGCUAACGCAUUAAGUUCCCCGCCUGGGGAGUACGGCCGCAAGGCUAAAACUCAAAGGAAUUGACGGGGACCCGCACAAGCGGCGGAGCAUGCGGAUUAAUUCGAUGCAACGCGAAGAACCUUACCAAGGCUUGACACUANACCAGAACGGAACAGAAAAUGUGUNCAAANACUCUUUGGACACUGGUNAACAGGUGGUGCAUGGUUGUCGUCAGCUCGUGUCGUGAGAUGUUGGGUUAAGUCCCGCAACGAGCGCAACCCUCGUUCUAUGUUGCCAGCACGUAAUGGUGGGAACUCAUGGGAUACUGCCGGGGUCAACUCGGAGGAAGGUGGGGAUGACGUCAAAUCAUCAUGCCCCUUAUGUCUUGGGCUUCACGCAUGCUACAAUGGCCGGUACAAAGGGCUGCAAUACCGUGAGGUGGAGCGAAUCCCAAAAAGCCGGUCCCAGUUCGGAUUGAGGUCUGCAACUCGACCUCAUGAAGUCGGAGUCGCUAGUAAUCGCAGAUCAGCAACGCUGCGGUGAAUACGUUCCCGGGUCUUGUACACACCGCCCGUCAAGUCAUGAAAGUCGGUAACACCUGAAGCCGGUGGCCCAACCCUUGUGGAGGGAGCCGUCGAAGGUGGGAUCGGUAAUUAGGACUAAGUCG